This is a long non-coding RNA of Coffea arabica (coffee), 1356 nucleotides long. RefSeq lists it as uncharacterized. The record is from RefSeq and is a predicted model, not a curated record. NCBI's taxonomy places the organism in Eukaryota, Viridiplantae, Streptophyta, Magnoliopsida, Gentianales, Rubiaceae.
UGCUAAAUGAGUUGUUUAGCAUAUCUAAGAAGCCUGUUCUACUCCCCGGUACUUCAUAAGGGGUCUAAAAACUAAUUUCCCCUCAAUCCCUCUCUUUUUCUACCCUAACUUCUUCAGGCGCCAAACAAAACGCACCACCCAUUCAAUUUUUUCUUACAUCUUAUCCCACAUUCGCAGCCAACGUAAGAGUAAGGGUGGUGAUUGGGAGACUGCUGAGCUAAUUAGGCAUAUUAUCAGAGGAAGAUACCCGACAAAGGGCGAGAGUAUUAGACAAAGAGAUUCUGGAAUUUUCUCAAAUUCUACAGAUCAUCUACUCUCAGAUUCAAAGGAUAAAUUGUUGCCAGAGUAUUCAUUCUCUUCAAACUUGUUGCUUUGCCGCAUCUGCCCUUCUUCAAUGUUCUUCAAUUUCACUCCUCAAGUGGUCAAUCUCCAUUGCUUGCCUCUUGAUUGUGCUGUGGCUACGAAGCUGUCCAGGUAUGUAUCCAAGUUGCUGUUGACAAAUUUCCUUACUACCUAUUGAAGUUGUAGCUUCCAUCUCUUUCAUUGUUGCCUAGACAAGACAUUAUAUCUUUGGUGUUGAAAGGCAUGUCACAAAGGAGUUGUAAAUGCAUAAAAAUAGAAUGACAUCUCGCACCAAAGUCUCUUUUGCUACAUAAUUUAUCAACCCUCCUGUGAUCUUUGAUGUACGACUGAUUUCAAGUAUUUCUAUCUCUGAAAGCUCCACUCCCUUCUUCCUCUUCUGUCAAAUAAUCAGUUUGACUUAAGUGUGAGAAUGUAGAAGGACAAAAAGUAUAAUGGAAUCUCCACCAGCAAAAAGCAUUAACACUGCAAAAAUCAAUCCACCAAUUGCGGUACAAUAGAGUUGUAAUUCAUAAAUUAUUCCAAAUGCUCUCCAAAUCUGAAAAAAACUGAAAGUUAUUUGUAUUCCUCAAAAACCUCCGCCCACAUCACCAUUCAAUAUUUCUUGGCCCGCUAUUGGCCAAACCACCUGGGCACUAGGCCCAAUGUGAAUUGGAUCACUUAGCCACGCUUCAUAAGUGGAAAAACGAGCACCGUUGAAAUACAUGCCGCUCAACCAAAGAAAGAUGAUGGAGAGUUAGCCGAAAUGGGCACUAAAUACUUUUCGAGAAAUCUCCUCCAAAUCACUGGUAUGGCUAUCGAAAUCAUGAGUAUCAGCAUGUAGAUUCCAGAUCCAAGUGGUAGUAUCAGGUCCUUUAGCUAUUGUUCUUGAGAAAUGACCAGGUUUGGCCCAUUCCUCGAAACAACAGAAUUGAUUACCUUCUCUUCAACAACUUUAGCAAGUGACUUUGUUCCCACAGUAGUAUGAGUUUCAUUCUUGGCACGAUUUACUUUGUU